RNAcentral lists this ribosomal RNA (447 nucleotides) under uncultured bacterium. RNAcentral's name for it is "SSU rRNA". It matches the Rfam family "Bacterial small subunit ribosomal RNA", at positions 26 to 518 of the family's 1533-position model. The record is from RNAcentral.
AGAGCGAACGCUGGCGGCAGGCCUAACACAUGCAAGUCGAGCGGCCGUAGCAAUACGGCAGCGGCAGACGGGAGAGUAACACGUGGGAACGCGCCCUUCGGUUCGGAAUAACUCAGGGAAACUUGGGCUAAUACCGGAUACGCCCUUACGGGGAAAGAUUUAUUGCCGAAGGAACGGCCCGCGUCCGAUUAGCUUGUUGGUGAGGUAACGGCUCACCAAGGCGACGAUCGGUAGCUGGUCUGAGAGGAUGACCAGCCUCACUGGGACUGAGACACGGCCCAGACUCCUACGGGAGGCAGCAGUGGGGAAUAUUGGACAAUGGGCGCAAGCCUGAUCCAGCCAUGCCGCGUGGGUGAUGAAGGCCCUAGGGUUGUAAAGCUCUUUUGUGCGGGAAGAUAAUGACGGUACCGCAAGAAUAAGCCCGGCUAACUUCGUGCCAGCAGCCGC